GGGUCGGCCCUGCGCAGCAGAUCGGUGUGAACCCCGCCAGGUCCGGAAGGAAGCAACGGUAAGCGCUUUGUCUGGGUGCCGCAGCAAGCCGGCUCCAC
Molecule: signal recognition particle RNA, 98 nt
Filed under: Nitrospiraceae bacterium
Lineage: Bacteria; Pseudomonadati; Nitrospirota; Nitrospiria; Nitrospirales; Nitrospiraceae
Also listed under: 1 other name
Description: signal recognition particle sRNA small type
Rfam family: Bacterial small signal recognition particle RNA
About the family: The signal recognition particle (SRP) is a universally conserved ribonucleoprotein involved in the co-translational targeting of proteins to membranes. Archaeal SRP consists of a 7S RNA and homologues of the eukaryotic SRP19 and SRP54 proteins. In most bacteria, the SRP consists of a 4.5S RNA and the Ffh protein (a homologue of the eukaryotic SRP54 protein).
Source: RNAcentral